UUUGCAGUUCUUUGUUAAAUAAAGUUUUGUAAAAAAAACAGGUGCACCUGAAAACUAUUUAAGCGGCGAUUAAUUGUCUCGACGACCUUUUCGCCAUCAAGCCGCGAGCAUCACGACGUCUGUGAUGAGAUCGUUUCAGCAUUUUGGGGGUGAAAAAAAGCGCCGCUGCAGUAGGCUGACAGCUUGAUGGUCAUCUUGACACUAAAAUGACGCACGUCUUCAAAUCGCCCCAAAAAUGGUGCUAAACGACAAAAUAACAGCCCCCCCCCCCUUAAAUGUAUAUUAAUAAUUCAAAUCUAUGCGUGCGACUAAUUGUCUCAUUUCUGUCCACAGGCUCACAUCUUGGUCAUCUUGACACUAAAAUGAUGCACGUCUUCAAAUCGCCCCAAAAAUGGCUGACAGCUUGAUGGUCAUCUUGACACUAAAAUGACGCACGUCUUCAAAUCGCCCCAAAAAUGGUGCUUCAUGACAGCCCCCCCCCCCCCCCCUUAAAUGUAUAUUAAUAAUUCAAAUCUAUGCGUGCGACUAAU
Phycodurus eques (leafy seadragon) is the source of this 530-nucleotide long non-coding RNA. RefSeq lists it as uncharacterized. The transcript is spliced from 7 exons. Lineage: Eukaryota; Metazoa; Chordata; Actinopteri; Syngnathiformes; Syngnathidae. The record is from RefSeq and is a predicted model, not a curated record.